Molecule: ribosomal RNA, 253 nt
Filed under: uncultured bacterium
Lineage: Bacteria
Description: partial 16S ribosomal RNA
Rfam family: Bacterial small subunit ribosomal RNA
Source: RNAcentral
UACGAAGGGGGCUAGCGCUGUUCGGAAUUACUGGGCGUAAAGCGCACGUAGGCGGGUUGUUAAGUCAGGGGUGAAAUCCUGGAGCUCAACUCCAGAACUGCCUUUGAUACUGGCAACCUAGAGACUGGAAGAGGUUAGUGGAAUUCCCAGUGUAGAGGUGAAAUUCGUAGAUAUUGGGAAGAACACCAGUGGCGAAGGCGACACGCUGGGCCGUACCUGACACUGAUGCGCGACAGCAUGGGGAGCAAACAGG